Molecule: long non-coding RNA, 222 nt
Filed under: Carica papaya (papaya)
Lineage: Eukaryota; Viridiplantae; Streptophyta; Magnoliopsida; Brassicales; Caricaceae
Description: long non-coding RNA (CPAP_LNC003845)
Source: RNAcentral
AUAUUAUUUUUAUUAUCGAGUAUCUGGAACUCACCCCUUUGUUUUUCUUCUAAAUAGGGAAGAGAAUAAGGAACCAAUUGUUGAUCUAUCCCUUGAAAAUUUUGAGGAUCCCAUGGAUACAUGAACCAUUAUGAGUGCAUAGUUGUCUCGCACUCUGAUGAGUCCAUCUUUUGUAGAGGCUUGUAAUUAAUUUUGUUUCUACCUUAGUAAUGUAUGAAACUC